UUCGUAUAGUUUCUGCCAACAAUCUUUGGACAUUUGCAAACAUGAUUCAUCUCUGUUUUAUAUAUCCUCGAUUGGAAUAGCUUUUCUUCUUGAGGUUUUCUUGGUAGAUGGGAAAGCCUGAGACCACUUAUUGAAGCUAUAGCCAGAUCCAAGCAUUCCUGCAUAUUGCUUGCUUAAGUUGGCCAUUUGACCAGGCGAAUUUCUAUCCCACAUACCCCAAAUCCUUAGUGUUACACAAUGCAACAUCCUGCAAUGCUUUGAUUUGAUUUAUUUUCCUUAUUUUAAGCCAUUUCUGAAAAUCUUUGAUCUGGAGAAGAUGAUUUCUGGUAGUGCAUGGUGCUCAAUCCAUAUCCAUUAGAUUCAUAUUAGAAGAGGAGUUAAUAAUGGCCAUUGAUUUUGCAUAGUAUAGUGCAUACCUUGACAUAUUUAUCUGAAUAUAUCUGAUUGCCAAAGGAUCCAUUCCUAGGAUGCAUGGAAGUGAUAAGCUUUGGCUCCAUUCUGUUCAUAUUAUAACUUUGAACAUUAAAAUUACUUCUAGUGGAACUAAACCUGAUCCAGAUAGGUCAGCAUUUAUUAACAUGUGAUUUGUUUUUGGAGCAUAUUCUGUUCAUUUUACCUACUUUAUCACCUCAUUAUCCAAAUCCUUCCUAUUUCUUAUCAGAAACCUUACUUGACCCACCAAAUUACGUUUCUAUUAGCUUAUGAUUAUUCACCUUUUUUUUAAAGCACUGGAAGCCACAAUGAGAUAAAUAUUUACUAUGAUAUGUUCAAAAUUAGGUUUUUUUUUUCAGAACUAUAUAUCUUGCAAUAUCAAGUGUCACAUUCAGAUUGCACAGAGAUGUCUUCUACAAGUGGACAAUAAUUCACUUACAAUAUACACCUGCUCUUUUAUUUAUUUAUUUAUUUUUCUGUUCAUUGUAUCAUGCUCUUUUAACUGGGAAUCAUUUUACUCCAUAGUUCAUCUUCUUAUUCUCCAAGUUCUCAUAAGCUAUUUUCUAAAGCACCUUCAACUUAGGUGCUAGGACCAUGUCAAUACUUAUGUACUGUAUCUCAACCAGAUCUAUUUAAUCUGGGAGUUAACUCAUGCUGAUCUGUACUGGAUAAUGCAUAAUAUGCCAAACAUGGUAUUGGCGCCCACAAGGUGAUGAUUCCAACAGCAUUUUGCUGGUACAGUGCUUUUGCCAGCUACUUUGCUUGAUGGACACAGUACUGGAAUGCAUGCAUGUUAUAUUGUAAAUAGAUUUUACCACAUUUUGUUCUUAAGCAUUCUUUAAGGUCCAACUUAUUCAAUAUUCAAUAGAAAAUCUCUUUCAUUUUUGUGCUUGAAGUCUGUAAAUGUCAAAAAGUUUAGGAGAAAUAUAAAUUCAUACUGUAAGGAAAAAUGUCCCGAUCCUGAUUUUUUCUCAUCCAACCAUUUCCUCUGCCGCAUUCAUUUCCAUCCCUGAUCUUCCUCUUUAUUUGCGUCAGCUAUUUCCAGCCAGAGUGAUAAGUCCGGAUCACCAACUGCUAACUAAAUCAUAUCAUCAUUUUGCAGACAGAAGAUGUGGAAUGGAUGAUGUUCCAGAGACUGACUUCCUCAGUUGGAUUUCUCUACAACAUAUCAUUUGAGCUCUUAUAUACCAAAUACAGCAGGGCAGGCCUCCCUCGCUAAGGACUGUCACCCCUACAGCCACUGAUGAUUUGACACCCCCUACUGUAGGGGUUGGCCUUUGGGAAGCUAUGGCAAUUGUAGUAAGGGACUCCAGGUUUGGAGCAAGGCACCACAUCCCCCUUGAGAGCCUCAUAGCUUAUGUACUUCUUCUCGGUGACAGCCCAUAGCAGCCUCCUGUUCUCCUCUGAGUUCAUCUCCAACACCACCCCAUCCUCCAGCAAGCAUCUUCCAACUUUUCUACUGCAAGGCAGCUUCGCCACCACCUCCACAGCAGUGCUCUUCUCCAGGAGGAGGAGAACAAGGAGAAGUGACACCAACAUGGGCGGAGUCUUCCUCGGAGUGAAGCCUGAGCUGAGCUUUGCCAUGACUUCUUCUUGCUCGUUUGUGACCUGCCUUCUCUUUGUUUCUGUGGGUGAGAGGCUUUAAUGAGAUGUCAGCUCUUCCACCUACUUUGGCUUCGCGGUCCGGGAGGAGCAGCAGCAACCAAGUCAUUGACUUCACACUGCUUUUAUGGGUGCGCGGACAAAUGGAUAGUGGAAUAUGGACUUUAUUAUUAGUAUAACUCAUGGUACAUUAUAAGAUUAUCAUUUUAUACGUGGAUUAUCUAAUUCACUUA
Molecule: long non-coding RNA, 2267 nt
Organism: Musa acuminata AAA Group (dessert banana)
Lineage: Eukaryota; Viridiplantae; Streptophyta; Magnoliopsida; Zingiberales; Musaceae
Exons: 2
Source: RefSeq, a predicted model, not a curated record